UUUACACUUACUUUUUCCAAACAUGGAAAUUAAGGUGUCAGUAAGUUUAUUGUAAGAGUGAAAAAGAGUCAAGUCAAUUUUUCUUGCAAUUCCAACUCCUUCCAUUUUCACUUUCACAUACUUAUAUAUUGAUCCUCUGCCACCACUAACGCCGCCGUUCUCCACCGUGACAUAAUUCAUCGCGCCGCGGCGGCUACGGUGGCAGAGCUUCUUCCUUAAUGAAUUAAUUGG
This 231-nucleotide unclassified non-coding RNA is filed under the name Hevea brasiliensis (rubber tree). Lineage: Eukaryota; Viridiplantae; Streptophyta; Magnoliopsida; Malpighiales; Euphorbiaceae. The record is from RNAcentral.